This 483-nucleotide ribosomal RNA is filed under the name uncultured bacterium. RNAcentral's name for it is "partial 16S ribosomal RNA". It matches the Rfam family "Bacterial small subunit ribosomal RNA", at positions 30 to 506 of the family's 1533-position model. The record is from RNAcentral.
AUUGAACGCUGGCGGCAGGCCUAACACAUGCAAGUCGAGCGGAUGAAGGGAGCUUGCUCCUGGAUUCAGCGGCGGACGGGUGAGUAAUGCCUAGGAAUCUGCCUGGUAGUGGGGGAUAACGUCCGGAAACGGGCGCUAAUACCGCAUACGUCCUGAGGGAGAAAGUGGGGGAUCUUCGGACCUCACGCUAUCAGAUGAGCCUAGGUCGGAUUAGCUAGUUGGUGGGGUAAAGGCCUACCAAGGCGACGAUCCGUAACUGGUCUGAGAGGAUGAUCAGUCACACUGGAACUGAGACACGGUCCAGACUCCUACGGGAGGCAGCAGUGGGGAAUAUUGGACAAUGGGCGAAAGCCUGAUCCAGCUAUGCCGCGUGUGUGAAGAAGGUCUUCGGAUUGUAAAGCACUUUAAGUUGGGAGGAAGGGCAGUAAGUUAAUACCUUGCUGUUUUGACGUUACCAACAGAAUAAGCACCGGCUAACUUCGU